UAAAUGAGAGUUUGAUCCUGGCUCAGGAUGAACGCUGGCGGCGUGCUUAACACAUGCAAGUCGAACGGGGGUCA
Molecule: ribosomal RNA, 74 nt
Filed under: Clostridiaceae bacterium
Lineage: Bacteria; Bacillati; Bacillota; Clostridia; Eubacteriales; Clostridiaceae
Description: partial 16S ribosomal RNA
Rfam family: Bacterial small subunit ribosomal RNA
Source: RNAcentral